This is an RNA transcript of Monopterus albus (swamp eel), 5948 nucleotides long. It is a transcript of the gene named armadillo repeat containing 2, with no coding region annotated. The record is from RefSeq and is a predicted model, not a curated record. NCBI's taxonomy places the organism in Eukaryota, Metazoa, Chordata, Actinopteri, Synbranchiformes, Synbranchidae. The transcript has 24 exons.
GCAGGUGACUUACUCGCGGCACCUUGCUGCAAAGCUCCAAAACUUAGGUUUUCAACAAACUUCAGGUGUUGUUGUCUUUCAGUUUUGACCGUGGAAGCCGAAUAUGGAAUACAGUGGAUUCUAUCGGGGUUAACGUGAUACACCCUGUAACCACUCACAUAAUGAAAUCAAACCGCUGAUGUCAUCUGGAGGUUGUCUUGGCAAAUGUAACAUAAAUGGCCUCUAUGGAGAGGAAACAUGAGGUUUGCAGCCCUUUCAAUCCGCGGCGCAGCACUUUGAGGAAAACGAGUGCAGAAAUAGUCAGUGAAGCCAGACAGCUCCUACGAGUCCAGUCUACCCAGCGACCACUUACUCCCAGAGAUGGACACAGGCAACUUUUUGGAAAGAGCUCUGUUCGUGCAGACGGAGACAACAGACCUCCAUCUACCUUUAGUCUUCAUGCUCAAAAUUUUGAUGCUCCUGACUCAAGGCCAGGUUCAGGGACUCGCCUGUCUCCUCUGGACUACAAACCAACGUUUCCAUAUCCCUGUGAUGCUGAGGAUCCAUUUAAGGCCUUUCCCAAACCCCCUGCUGAUCCACUGGAAUUGAAGAGGGGCUUGGCAAGAGCGCGGGCACGCAUCCUCAGGGCUGGAUCUCUCACCACAUUGCCUCCUGUAGAGAGAUACCCAGAUGUGAAAGAAAGAUCAAACCCAGACCCAGGACCAGCUAAACGACUCCCCAGUACAGACCACACCAAGGUCCGAAGCAGUGCUUACAAACCUGGCCCACGCAGAUCAUCUAGUGAAAGUAGAAUAAUGCAGCCUGGUGUUGACUCAGGACUUAGACCCACAGUGUGCAGAGCAGGAUGGAGAACAGAGCUAAUGAAUAGAGACAACACCCCAAGCACAGAGGACGAUGCAGCGUCAUUGGUGUGGAAUAAAGCGAUUGCUCCUGUUCUCCAGCAACUGGAGACUGCAGCUGCAGGCAACUCUGAAGCCUCAGUGGACCAUCUAUGUGAUUUGUGUGACAGUCUCCAUGGUACCUUGACACAAGUGGACAUGCUCGGUCGACGCUGUAAGAGGAGGUCACGGAUACUUCGAACACUGUUCCGCCUCAUCGACCUAAACUCUGCCCAGCUCAACCUGCACAUCGCCAAGCUCUGUCUUGCUCUUUAUGUCAGUGGAAACAACCUGCUCAAUAUCUGCAAGCUCAUCUUCCAGAUCAGCCGCAGCGAAAGCAAUGACGUCUUCUUCCAGAACAACUCCAUAAUAGACUUGUUGCUGGGAGUGCUGAGCAAUGAGGAUGUGUCUUCAUCUGGAGAAGCUCUCUUGUACUGUGUUGGAACUCUGAAAUUUCUCUCAGGAAACAGUGCAAUCCUCAGACUCCUGCUAGAAAAGAACUGUAUUGGCGUGGCUCAGAAACUCAUCCACAAGCUGCACCCGGUGAAAGAAACCCACUUCACCAUAACAGGGCACAUCCUUGUACAGCUCACAGCAACCCUGAGAAACCUGGCCGAUCAUCCUGAUUCCCGUCCACUCUUUGUCUCCUUCUCAAUUCUGUCAGAGCUCUGUCAGGUGCUGCGUUAUCACUGCAAAGACCAGGACAUCUGCACCAACAUUUCAAGAAUAUACAGUAAACUCUCCUCUUAUACGGAGUGCCGCAUCGCUCUGGCCCAGACCCCUGGCUGCUACCAACUAUUUUUAGAACUGCUGAGCAAACAUCGCCAAAAACAGGACCUUGUUGUGCGCCUUCUUUUCACCCUUGGGAACCUCACAGCCAAAAGCAACGAGGCUCGCCAACAGCUCUUCCAGUGUGAAGGCUGCAUGGGCAAACUCCUCCAGCUGUACACCAGCUACCAGCGAAGAGAUGCGUCACCACAUACUUCCUCACAGAAAAGUGACCCUUCCCCCAGCAGACCUCUUGCUGCUCCCAUGAGUGUGCAGGAGGAUGACGAUGUGCUGGUGAAGCUGGUCAGGGUUCUAGCAAACAUGUGCAUCCAUCUGGCUGUAGGUCCGGCUUUGGCAACCAACACAGCUUGCAUUGAACUUCUGAUGGAGACACUCGAGUUGAGGUCUGUGGAAGAGAGUGAGGAGUUGUUGGUGAAUGUGGCUGCCACCAUCAACAACCUGUCCUUCUACCAGGAGGAAAUCUCUGUAAUCAGACACAGUCAACUCACUAUUGCAAAAUUGAUGUUGAAGUUGGUGCUCAGCUACAGUAUGGAUGCAAUGCUUGAAGCCACCCGUGUAUAUGGAAACCUGUCACAGUCCAAGGAUGUGAGAGACUUUAUUAUGCAAAACAAAGUGCACCGGUUUGUCGUGGCGCUGCUUGACUCAAAAAGCCCUGAGAUGUGUUUUUCAGCCUGUGGGGUCCUCACCAACCUGGCUCUGGACCCUCCCAACCGGGUCAGUCUCUCACUAGAGGGAGCUUCUGCCAAGCUGGUGGACUGUCUGAGAGACUUGGGACCAGGUGAUUGGCAACUGGCGGGGCAGGCUUGUCAGGCCUUGUGGAACAUGAUUGGCGGGGGCUCAGAGCAGUUGCUGGACCCACAGGAGAGAGAGUCACUUCUGGAAAUCCUCUCUGCAUAUUUAGAAGAAGAGGAGGCUCUGAAGUGGAUAGAAGAUGAAGAUUUGAGAGAUUUUCACAGGGCAUACUGGGAGUUGGAAUUCCUACCUGUAGCUCAAAAACUGAAGAAGACUCUCCAGGCUCCUGACCUGACCACCUGACACACAGGGACAUAGAGUUAAGAGUUUCACUUCUCUUUGUAUAUUUGUUUUAAACUCUUAAAUACUUAAGCCCAGAGAGUAUAUUAUUAUUAUUAUUAUUAUCAUCAUUAUUAUCAUUAUCACUUCCCUCCUGUGAGUUUUAAAGGUGGCUGUAAAGCUUAAUCGUCAUCGGUGUGUGAAUAUGUGUGUGAAUGGGUGAAUGGUGUAUGAUCUCCUGUAAAGCACUUUGGCCAGUGCAGCACACUGUGAAAUAUGCGCUAUAUAAAUACAGUCCAUUUACCAUUUUAAUAGUUUCCUUUUUCAUAGGGAAAGCAUGUGAGGUCAGCUUGAUAUCAUGUCAAUUACAGUGGACUCCAUUUUUAAUGUCUGAAAAAGUGGAGCCUGAAAAAGUUCGGCCGCUGUCCCCCACCGCCUCCUAGUGCGCAUGUGCAGUGGACCCCAGAACGCGGAAGCAACCCCGGAAGAAAAUCAUUUGCCAUGUGUGCCAGGCGGGCAACAAUCAGUGGGGAAAAUAAAUAGAAUAAAUGAAUGUAUUAACGUUAUGAAAAAAAAAAUUCUCACAAUACAGUGAAAAAUCUCCUACCUUUUCCCCUUAAUAUAUCCGCUGGAAGAAUGGUCUUCAUCUUGUGAUUCAGUAUCCAGCUGUUAUAAUAUAUUAAUGUGACAUACAAGGGUUGAAUUUAGUUUACCGUUAUAAUCGGUCCUAUCAGUGUUUGUUUCUGGUUUGGCACCAUGAAGAUAAACAAGAACACUACUGGAGGGACACAAAGUUGUGUCGGUUCUUUACAAUGCAAACCACGUGCCCAGGUAUCAUGAAUGGAUGAAGUGUCCGAGCUGCAGCAUCUGACUGCCUCAGAGCCACCGACCCUGGAACAGGAGUACGACAUGCAGUGGAGCUGGAGGGAAGAUGGUAACAGCCACACAACACAUGGACCAGAAUACGGGACUCGCACAGUGUUCCAGGCCCCUGUCACUCCUACAUAUGGACAUCAACUGCAAGUUGAUCAGGUCCUGAUCCUCCAAAUGGCCAGAAACAAGGCGUCCAUGGCUCUGGUGUUCUUCCUUGAUGUUGCAAAGAAACCUGACUUUAGAUCCAGGCUGCUGAAGUUUUGGCCUGAGAUGGGAAAUCCCUACUGGUGGGGUCAUCAAGGCUAUCAGAGUGGAGUGGUCGCACCAAGCGCCAGCUUUCCUGAGAGGAGAGGCGUGCUCCCCAGACCAGCGGGUCCUGGACCAGCGCACACCAACACUGGGAGGAAGCAGUGUUCUGUGGAUUCCAUGAAACGCAAAGGAACUCUGGCAACUUCUGGGAGCACAGGGAAAAGAAAAAAAUAGCUCUAGGGGAAAAGAGGUGUCUGUGACAAAGGAUGCCUCUCUUUUAUGAAUUAAACAUGCAUAUACACAAUUCCCUAAAGAAAUCUAAAGACAGUGUGCGCAACAAUCAAGGGGAAAAGGUGUUGGCCCGCAACCCCAGUGAGCACAUGAGGAAGAGUGAGUUCCCGGGGAUGUUAUUCUAACAGGGAGAGGGCAGCUGUCACAAUACAACAGACUCCAAGAGAAAACGCUCUCACAGAAAAUACCAAACCCUCCCCUGCUGUCUUUAGUCUGAUAUGACACAGCCACCACAAAUCCAUGAAAAACUCAUUUGCUUUACCUGUCCUCAUUCCCUCUCUAUACAUCUCCUCUGUUUUUGUAAAAACAACCUCAACUAUCCUUCGACUCCUUCCCUGUUCAACAUGGGAAACACAGGAGAUAACACAGCGGGGUGGGUCAAAGGUGCUGCCAGAAGUUCAAAAGACAAAACCUGGGGUCUUGUGAAGUAGCAAAUGUUUCAGAUACUGAAGGCAUGCACGGUAAAAUCUAUGCCAGGCUUAUCUCUCCUACUUCUUUUAUGAAACAAAAACAUGAAACUAACAAGGCUGAUCUUAUAUUAGCAUUGAGACUCUCAGCAGCCCCAAAGAAAACAGCUCCUCUGAUACGACACUGCUGUGCGCCUCCCUGCAUGCACAGCUGCUUUCUUCUAUCUCUCUCUUUGACAAGACCUCGGCUCUGCUGACUAAGCAAAACAUGAUUCAUGUCACUGGUAACCUGGGCAGAAAGUUGUUGGUCAUCACCCUAUAAAUCUUAACGGGCACUGUUAAAGGACACGACCCUUCGCCUGUCUCUGUGACAAUACAGAAAGGUGAUGACUCACUCCCUAAAAUACCAAGAAACAAGUUCAUAACAGCUGCUUACAGCAGGCAACACUCCACCAAAUGUGAGCCACUAAUCAAAAGGCAACAAAUACUUGAUGAAACAUUUUUACCAUCUCCAUGUAGCUGCUCAUAAAAACAUAUGUCAGUCACCUCUUUCAGUAUAACAUAACAAGUGGGGUUGACAGUCCUGUUAGCGGUGAUCCAGUGCAGGGUAGACCGCGGUAGGACAGCAGAUAAAAAGAAACAGUGAUACGGGCUGAUGUAAUGCAUCACAAAGGCUGCAGGAAAGAUUAGAAACUAUUGCAUUAAACUAUUUCUGUCAGCUCCUGACGCCAGUUUCACUUCUGCCCUUCUCUGUUUCCACUAUCUAUUUUCUCAGUCUGUAGCCUUCACCAGGCUACAUUUUGAUUGCAAAGUUGAACAGGAGAUGUGAUACCUGUGUACUUUAAGGGGGAGGAAGUGAUAUGGCCUAAUCAUUCCCCUCAGAACCAUUUCAGCCAUCUCCUGUUACUUCAUUAAUAGGCAAUGAGCCCUGGUACUGAGUGGCUGAACAAAAUGGAUGGCAGAACCUCAUCGCACUGUGACAUCACAGCGAUUGCCCCAUUAAUGUUUAAUCGCUUAUAAAAUAUCUGAAUAGGUGGAAAGUGGUCUCGGUUCUGUACAGCUGUCAAGAUGGACUCAACAUUUCCACUAACAUUAUUUUAAGCUGCUGAUCUUUCUUUGUAUGAUACUGAACAGUUUAGACAGAACAAAAUGAGUGAAUAUAUAUUGUAGAUUUUCUUCCAAUACAAGUUCAAUUUCAAACAAAAUGUAUAGAAUAUAUGCACAGUGGAGCCAGCAGGCUCAAUGUGUACAAACACCAGAGGGACCAGUGCCAACAUACACAAACUCACAGUACAUGUACAUGCAUGUUGUUCCCUUGAGGAAAAAACCCAGUGAGUUCCUCAAAUAUGAAAACUGCAAGCACAUGACAUGAGAUCAUGAGUUUUUACUGGUCAAAACAACAGUGGUAAAAUAUAGAAAAUGCUUACCCAGGCACAUUAUCUUCUGGUGC